UUUUUCAAGCUUGCCCAGUGUGAAUAUACACUCAGCCGAGAAACAUCACAAGCAUCAUAUUCACCUGAGGCUGAGUACAUUACACCAACACAGAAAAAAAUAAUAAAUCCAUUGCUUGCUUUGUCCGAAAGUCAAAAAGUGAGUCGCCGAGUUUUAGAGCGUUUUUCUCUUGUUUUAACAAGUUUCCCAAGGCAUUUUUUAAUACCAUGGACUGGUGGGGCAAAUGCCCCAUUUGGGCCCCUUCCUCUGCCCCACCACUGAAGAAAAAAAAUGGCCUAUUGCCCCAAAGCCAGGAC
This is a non-coding RNA of Paramuricea clavata, 296 nucleotides long. Lineage: Eukaryota; Metazoa; Cnidaria; Anthozoa; Malacalcyonacea; Plexauridae. The record is from the annotation of a GenBank genome assembly.